Molecule: ribosomal RNA, 254 nt
Filed under: uncultured bacterium
Lineage: Bacteria
Description: partial 16S ribosomal RNA
Rfam family: Bacterial small subunit ribosomal RNA
Source: RNAcentral
UACGGAGGGAGCUAGCGUUGUUCGGAAUUACUGGGCGUAAAGCGCACGUAGGCGGCUCAGCAAGUCAGGGGUGAAAUCCCGGGGCUCAACCCCGGAACUGCCCUUGAAACUGCUAAGCUAGAAUCUUGGAGAGGCGAGUGGAAUUCCGAGUGUAGAGGUGAAAUUCGUAGAUAUUCGGAAGAACACCAGUGGCGAAGGCGACUCGCUGGACAAGUAUUGACGCUGAGGUGCGAAAGCGUGGGGAGCAAACAGGG